GCAGCCGCGGUAACACCGGCGGCCCGAGUGGUGAUCGUGAUUAUUGGGUCUAAAGGGUCCGUAGCCGGUUUGGUCAGUCCUCCGGGAAAUCUGAUAGCUCAACUAUUAGGCUUUCGGGGGAUACUGCCAGACUUGGAACCGGGAGAGGUAAGAGGUACUACAGGGGUAGGAGUGAAAUCUUGUAAUCCCUGUGGGACCACCUGUGGCGAAGGCGUCUUACCAGAACGGGUUCGACGGUGAGGGACGAAAGCUGGGGGCACGAACCGGAUUAGAUACCCGGGUAGUCCCAGCCGUAAACGAUGCUCGCUAGGUGUCAGGCAUGGCGCGACCGUGUCUGGUGCCGCAGGGAAGCCGUGAAGCGAGCCACCUGGGAAGUACGGCCGCAAGGCUGAAACUUAAAGGAAUUGGCGGGGGAGCACAACAACGGGUGGAAGCCUGCGGUUUAAUUGGACUCAACGCCGGACAACUCACCAGGGGCGACAGCAAUAUGUAGGCCAAGCUGAAGACUUUGCCUGAAUCGCUGAGAGGAGGUGCAUGG
RNAcentral lists this ribosomal RNA (538 nucleotides) under uncultured archaeon. RNAcentral's name for it is "bacterial SSU rRNA". It matches the Rfam family "Archaeal small subunit ribosomal RNA", at positions 461 to 997 of the family's 1478-position model. The record is from RNAcentral.